CGCAGCCGCGGUAAUUCCAGCUCCAAUAGCGUAUAUUAAAGUUGUUGCAGUUAAAAAGCUCGUAGUUGAAUUUCGGGACCAAUACAUCGGUCGUGCUUUCGGGUACGCACUGUCGUUAUUGGUUUCUACCUUCUGACGAACCAUGAUGUCAUUAAUUUGGUGUUUUGGAGAGUUAGGACUGUUACUUUGAAAAAUUAGAGUGUUUAAAGCAGGCAUUAGCUUGAAUACAUUAGCAUGGAAUAAUGAAAUAGGACGUUCGANCCUUAUUUUGUUGGUUUCUAGGAUCAACGUAAUGAUUAA
This 300-nucleotide ribosomal RNA is filed under the name uncultured Glomus. Its description in RNAcentral is "SSU rRNA". It matches the Rfam family "Eukaryotic small subunit ribosomal RNA", at positions 569 to 872 of the family's 1831-position model. The record is from RNAcentral. Lineage: Eukaryota; Fungi; Glomeromycota; Glomeromycetes; Glomerales; Glomeraceae.